GACGAACGCUGGCGGCGUGCUUAACACAUGCAAGUCGAACGGAAAGGCCCUGCUUUUGUGGGGUGCUCGAGUGGCGAACGGGUGAGUAACACGUGAGUAACCUGCCCUUGACUUUGGGAUAACUUCAGGAAACUGGGGCUAAUACCGGAUAGGAGCUCCUGCUGCAUGGUGGGGGUUGGAAAGUUUCGGCGGUUGGGGAUGGACUCGCGGCUUAUCAGCUUGUUGGUGGGGUAGUGGCUUACCAAGGCUUUGACGGGUAGCCGGCCUGAGAGGGUGACCGGCCACAUUGGGACUGAGAUACGGCCCAGACUGCUACGGGAGGCAGCAGUGGGGAAUAGUGCACAAUGGGCGGAAGCCUGAUGCAGCAACGCCGCGUGCGGGAUGACGGCCUUCGGGUUGUAAACCGCUUUCGCCUGUGACGAAGCGUGAGUGACGGUAAUGGGUAAAGAAGCAACGGCUAACUACGUG
Molecule: ribosomal RNA, 468 nt
Filed under: uncultured bacterium
Lineage: Bacteria
Description: partial 16S ribosomal RNA
Rfam family: Bacterial small subunit ribosomal RNA
Source: RNAcentral